RNAcentral lists this ribosomal RNA (112 nucleotides) under Cytophagales bacterium. The record is from RNAcentral. Lineage: Bacteria; Pseudomonadati; Bacteroidota; Cytophagia; Cytophagales. RNAcentral also lists the same sequence under 25 other names.
UAUGGAGCCGAUAGGACGGGUGUUCACCUCUUCCCAUCUCGAACAGAGAAGUUAAGCCCCGCACCGCUGAUGAUACUGGGAUCAAACCCGGGAAAGUAAGUAAGCUCCAAGU